This 468-nucleotide ribosomal RNA is filed under the name uncultured bacterium. RNAcentral's name for it is "partial 16S ribosomal RNA". It matches the Rfam family "Bacterial small subunit ribosomal RNA", at positions 28 to 507 of the family's 1533-position model. The record is from RNAcentral.
GACGAACGCUGGCGGCGUGCUUAACACAUGCAAGUCGAACGGAAAGGCCCUGCUUUUGUGGGGUGCUCGAGUGGCGAACGGGUGAGUAACACGUGAGUAACCUGCCCUUGACUUUGGGAUAACUUCAGGAAACUGGGGCUAAUACCGGCUAGGAGCUCCUGCUGCAUGGUGGGGGUUGGAAAGUUUCGGCGGUUGGGGAUGGACUCGCGGCUUAUCAGCUUGUUGGUGGGGUAGUGGCUUACCAAGGCUUUGACGGGUAGCCAGCCUGAGAGGGUGACCGGCCACAUGGGGACUGAGAUACGGCCCAGACUCCUACGGGAGGCAGCAGGGGGGAAUAUUGCACAAUGGGCGGAAGCCUGAUGCAGCAACGCCGCGUGCGGGAUGACGGCCUUCGGGUUGUAAACCGCUGUAGCCUGUGACGAAGCGUGAGUGACGGUAAUGGGUAAAGAAGCACCGGCUAACUACGUG